This 621-nucleotide unclassified non-coding RNA is filed under the name Hevea brasiliensis (rubber tree). The record is from RNAcentral. Lineage: Eukaryota; Viridiplantae; Streptophyta; Magnoliopsida; Malpighiales; Euphorbiaceae.
UGUUACUACAUGAAUAAAGUAGAGAUAGAUACAAAACUUCCUAUAGUCGGUGAUCAGAAAUGGAUAAUAUGGAUUUGUUCCUUCAAUGUGCCAAUGGCACCUGGGAAGACACGUUCUAUCGUUUGUAGUGCUCGAAACUUCUUCCAAUUCACAAUGCCAGGGCCUGCCUGGUGGCAGGUGGUUCCAAGGUGGCACGAGCACUGGACCUCAAAUAAGGUAUAUGAUGGAGACAUGAUUGUUCUUCAGGGUCAGGAGAAGAUCUUUCUUUCCAAAUCAAAGGACGGUUCCACUGAUGUGAAUCAAGAUUACACAAAGCUCACAUUCACACCCACUCAAGCAGAUCGCUUUGUAUUAGCAUUUCGAAAUUGGCUGAGGCGGCAUGGCAACAGCCAACCUGAGUGGUUUGGCUUCAGUAAUCAACAGCCUUUGCCUUCAACAGUCCUGUCCAAACGCCAGAUGUUGGAUAGAUUUGAGCAGCACACCCAGCAGUGCUCAUCAUGUAAAAGGGCUUAUACAGCAUUCCAGGCUUUAGAAAAAUUUCUAAUUGGAGCAACUGUUUUCUUCUCUGCAACAGCUGGGAUUCCCUCAGAUUUGCAGUUUAGAGUUUUCCUGGCUGGACUU